Long non-coding RNA from Aethina tumida (small hive beetle), 938 nucleotides. RefSeq lists it as uncharacterized. NCBI's taxonomy places the organism in Eukaryota, Metazoa, Arthropoda, Insecta, Coleoptera, Nitidulidae. The transcript is spliced from 3 exons. The record is from RefSeq and is a predicted model, not a curated record.
GUUGCGACACACUGUAAAUAACAACAAUAACCUAAUUCAAUUUAGAAAUAAAUAGAAGAUUCUUUUGUACCAGCAGGAUGUUUAAUUUAUUAGCUAGAAACUGGAAAGAAACCCUGCGACGAAACCGGCGGAACCGUCGACCAAACUUAAUUUUGACCGUGACUACAUUGUCAAGUUCAGGAGUCGCACGAAUGAAAUACUGUUUGUCGAAGGGGACGAACAGUGGCGUGAAUCGGUUAUCUUAGGAUUUCACCGGGUCAAGUAUUAUUACAUGACUUUCCUGCACAACUAUCAAUUUACAUCGUACGAUUUCUGUUGUGGUGGCUAAAAAUACGCAUGAUGGAAAUGUAACGUGGAUGAUAAGGCCGUGGAUUUCGGGUGGGCACAUGAAUUUUUUACCUGGGAGUUAUUGAUGAAGGUAUCGAGUUACGUUAAAUGCAUUGAUUGUAUAAUGGUUACAUCGGUAACGAGUAUGUAUUGGAACAAUCCGGUUGGGCUAUCUCUGGCAAUACGUUCAACAGGUGGAUACUAUUCGUAGACAAAGCAAGAAUUAGGAAAAUGUUUUACAACUUACAUGAAAAAUUUUAAUCAUAAUAUAAAUAUGUACUUAAUUACUAAAGAAAUAUUAAGAAAAGUCAAUCGUAAAAUGAGGAGCAAACUUGAAAAAUAUGGAUCAUCCAACAGUCAUGGCUAUGAAUCUAUAUUUUCAUUUUUGACACUUGUUUUAUAUAACAAUUUAUUUUUAAAACAUCACUAGAUUAUCCAUUUAGUACAGUGGUCCAAUUAAGUAGAGCUUAUAUGUAUAGUAGUGACCACAAUUAUAGCAACAAAAUUGUAUUAAAGAUUUGAACUGUGCUAUUUGAAUUAGAUUCCAGUGUAUAUAAUGUUUAUUGUUCUUUUUGAUAUUGUUAUGUCCACUAUACAGCUACUCAAUUUAA